Molecule: ribosomal RNA, 391 nt
Filed under: uncultured bacterium
Lineage: Bacteria
Description: partial 16S ribosomal RNA
Rfam family: Bacterial small subunit ribosomal RNA
Source: RNAcentral
ACACGUAGGGGGCGAGCGUUGUUCGGAAUCAUUGGGCGUAAAGGGCGCGCAGGCGGCGAGGCAAGUCCGGUGUGAAAGUGCUCGGCUCAACCGAGUGAUGCGCUGGAAACUGCCCUGCUUGAGUACAGGAGGGGACGUCGGAAUUCCAGGUGUAGGGGUGAAAUCUGUAGAUAUCUGGAAGAACACCGGUGGCGAAGGCGGACGUCUGGCCAUGUACUGACGCUGAGGGGCGGAGGUGCGGGGAGCGAACAGGUUUAGAUACCCUGGUAGUCUGCACAGUAAACGAUGUGCACCAGGUGGCGGGGGGUAGCCCUCGGUACCGAAGCCAACGCAUUAAGUGCACCGCCUGGGGAGUAUGCUCGCAAGGGUGAAACUCAAAUGAAUUGGCGGG